Long non-coding RNA from Halichondria panicea, 350 nucleotides. RefSeq lists it as uncharacterized. The transcript is spliced from 2 exons. The record is from RefSeq and is a predicted model, not a curated record. Lineage: Eukaryota; Metazoa; Porifera; Demospongiae; Suberitida; Halichondriidae.
AGCACCCUACACAAUAUCAAGCAUCAUCAAUGCACCUACUGGAUUAAAGAGGAGGGUGUUGAAGACGGUCCCACCAUUGCCAGCUUCAUGAAACGCUUCUUUACCUCCGGGGAACGUUUCGUAGGAUAUUGUGUCUCGUACAGAGGUGGGUAGACCGGGUACACGCCCGAGUGGUGGGGAGACACUGAGUAACCAUGCCCCACAGCAAUGGAGGUAUUCUGAGAAGGGGAGAAACAGUACACUGAACAGCUACUAGUAUGUAUGACUUCUAUGUAGUCUCUGCUUGACAUUGUACAGACUGCAAAUUUUCAAUCUCGAUAGGGAUGGCAAUAGUUGUCCUGGUGCAGUGA